Molecule: ribosomal RNA, 497 nt
Filed under: uncultured bacterium
Lineage: Bacteria
Description: partial 16S ribosomal RNA
Rfam family: Bacterial small subunit ribosomal RNA
Source: RNAcentral
GACGAACGCUGGCGGCGUGCCUAAUACAUGCAAGUAGAACGCUGAAGAGAGGAGCUUGCUCUUCUUGGAUGAGUUGCGAACGGGUGAGUAACGCGUAGGUAACCUGCCUUGUAGCGGGGGAUAACUAUUGGAAACGAUAGCUAAUACCGCAUAACAAUGGAUGACACAUGUCAUUUAUUUGAAAGGGGCAAUUGCUCCACUACAAGAUGGACCUGCGUUGUAUUAGCUAGUAGGUGAGGUAACGGCUCACCUAGGCGACGAUACAUAGCCGACCUGAGAGGGGGAUCGGCCACACUGGGACUGGGACACGGCCCAGACUCCUACGGGAGGCAGCAGUAGGGAAUCUUCGGCAAUGGGGGCAACCCUGACCGAGCAACGCCGCGGGAGUGAAGAAGGGUUUCGGAUCGUAAAGCUCUGUUGUAAGUCAAGAACGAGUGUGAGAGUGGAAAGUUCACACUGUGACGGUAGCUUACCAGAAAGGGACGGCUAACUACGUG